UACGUAGGGGGGCGAGCGUUGUCCGGAUUUAUUGGGCGUAAAGAGCGUGUAGGCGGCCAGGUAGGUCCGUUGUGAAAAACUCGAGGCUCAACCUCGAGACGUCGAUGGAAACCAUCUGGCUAGAGUCCGGAAGAGGAGAGUGGAAAUUCCUGGUGUAGCGGUGAAAUGCGCAGAUAUCAGGAAGAACACCUAUGGCGAAGGCAGCUCUCUGGGACGGUACUGACGCUGAGACGCGAAAGCGUGGGGAGCGAACAGG
This 256-nucleotide ribosomal RNA is filed under the name uncultured bacterium. RNAcentral describes it as "partial 16S ribosomal RNA". It matches the Rfam family "Bacterial small subunit ribosomal RNA", at positions 524 to 776 of the family's 1533-position model. The record is from RNAcentral.